AGAGUUUGAUCCUGGCUCAGAUUGAACGCUGGCGGCAGGCUUAACACAUGCAAGUCGAGCGGAUGAAGGUAGCUUGCUACUGGAUUCAGCGGCGGACGGGUGAGUAAUGCUUAGGAAUCUGCCUAUUAGUGGGGGACAACGUUCCGAAAGGAGCGCUAAUACCGCAUACGUCCUACGGGAGAAAGCAGGGGACCUUUGGGCCUUGCGCUAAUAGAUGAGCCUAAGUCGGAUUAGCUAGUUGGUAGGGUAAAGGCCUACCAAGGCGACGAUCUGUAGCGGGUCUGAGAGGAUGAUCCGCCACACUGGGACUGAGACACGGCCCAGACUCCUACGGGAGGCAGCAGUGGGGAAUAUUGGACAAUGGGGGGAACCCUGAUCCAGCCAUGCCGCGUGUGUGAAGAAGGCCUUUUGGUUGUAAAGCACUUUAAGCGAGGAGGAGGCUACCUAGAUUAAUACUUUAGGAUAGUGGACGUUACUCGCAGAAUAAGCACCGGCUAACUCUGUGCCAGCAGCCGCGGUAAUACAGAGGGUGCGAGCGUUAAUCGGAUUUACUGGGCGUAAAGCGUGCGUAGGCGGCCAAUUAAGUCAAAUGUGAAAUCCCCGAGCUUAACUUGGGAAUUGCAUUCGAUACUGGUCGGCUAGAGUAUGGGAGAGGAUGGUAGAAUUCCAGGUGUAGCGGUGAAAUGCGUAGAGAUCUGGAGGAAUACCGAUGGCGAAGGCAGCCAUCUGGCCUAAUACUGACGCUGAGGUACGAAAGCAUGGGGAGCAAACAGGAUUAGAUACCCUGGUAGUCCAUGCCGUAAACGAUGUCUACUAGCCGUUGGGGCCCUUGAGGCUUUAGUGGCGCAGCUAACGCGAUAAGUAGACCGCCUGGGGAGUACGGUCGCAAGACUAAAACUCAAAUGAAUUGACGG
This 914-nucleotide ribosomal RNA is filed under the name uncultured Acinetobacter sp. RNAcentral's name for it is "bacterial SSU rRNA". It matches the Rfam family "Bacterial small subunit ribosomal RNA", at positions 8 to 916 of the family's 1533-position model. Lineage: Bacteria; Pseudomonadati; Pseudomonadota; Gammaproteobacteria; Moraxellales; Moraxellaceae. The record is from RNAcentral.